AGAGUUUGAUCCUGGCUCAGAUUGAACGCUGGCGGCAGGCUUAACACAUGCAAGUCGAACGGUAACAGGGGAAAGCUUGCUUUCUUGCUGACGAGUGGCGGACGGGUGAGUAAUGCUUGGGAAUCUGGCUUAUGGAGGGGGAUAACGACGGGAAACUGUCGCUAAUACCGCGUAGAGUCGAGAGACGAAAGUGCGGGACCGCAAGGCCGCAUGCCAUAGGAUGAGCCCAAGUGGGAUUAGGUAGUUGGUGGGGUAAAGGCCUACCAAGCCGACGAUCUCUAGCUGGUCUGAGAGGAUGACCAGCCACACCGGGACUGAGACACGGCCCGGACUCCUACGGGAGGCAGCAGUGGGGAAUAUUGCGCAAUGGGGGCAACCCUGACGCAGCCAUGCCGCGUGAAUGAAGAAGGCCUUCGGGUUGUAAAGUUCUUUCGGUGACGAGGAAGGUUGUUGUGUUAAUAGCGCAACAAAUUGACGUUAAUCACAGAAGAAGCACCGGCUAACUCCGUGCCAGCAGCCGCGGCAAUACGGAGGGUGCGAGCGUUAAUCGGAAUAACUGGGCGUAAAGGGCACGCAGGCGGCUAUUUAAGUGAGGUGUGAAAUCCCCGGGCUUAACCUGGGAAUUGCAUUUCAGACUGGGUAGCUAGAGUACUUUAGGGAGGGGUAGAAUUCCACGCGUAGCGGUGAAAUGCGUAGAGAUGUGGAGGAAUACCGAAAGGCGAAGGCAGCCCCUUGGGAAUGUACUGACGCUCAUGUGCGAAAGCGUGGGGAGCAAACAGGAUUAGAUACCCUGGUAGUCCACGCUGUAAACGUUGUCGAUUUGGGGAUUGGGCUUUAAGCUUGGUGCCCGUAGCUAACGUGAUAAAUCGACCGCCUGGGGAGUACGGCCGCAAGGUUAAAACUCAAAGGAAUUGACGGGGACCCGCACAAGCGGUGGAGCGGUGUUCUUUAAUUCGAUGAUAAACGAAGAACCUUACCCAGGCUUGACAUCCCUUGAAUUUUGUCGAAAGACGAAAGUGCUUUUAGAACAAGGUGACAGGUGUUGCAUGGCCGUCGUCAGCUCGUGUCGUGAGAUGUUUGGUUAAGUCCAUCAACGAGCGCAACCCUUAUGAAUAGUUGUAUUUUUCUAUUCAGACUGCCCCGGUAACGGGGAGGAAGGAGGGGAUGACGUCAGGUCAGUAUUGCCCUUACGUCUGGGGCUAGAAACGCGCUACAAUGGCUGGUACAAUGCGCAGCGAAGCGGUGACGUGAAGCAAAUCGCAUCAAAGCCAGUCCCAGUUCGGAUUGUAGGCUGAAACUCGCCUGCAUGAAGUCGGAAUCGCUAGUAAUCGCAGAUCAGCAAGCUGCGGUGAAUACGUUCCCGGGUCUUGUACACACCGCCCGUCAAACCAUGAAAGUGACCAACACCCGAAGUCCGAUUCGUCGGCCUAAGGUGGGGGGCAUGAUUGGGGUUAAGUCGUAACAAGGUAACC
This 1472-nucleotide ribosomal RNA is filed under the name uncultured bacterium. RNAcentral describes it as "bacterial SSU rRNA". It matches the Rfam family "Bacterial small subunit ribosomal RNA". The record is from RNAcentral.